Long non-coding RNA from Gasterosteus aculeatus aculeatus (three-spined stickleback), 2477 nucleotides. The record is from Ensembl. Lineage: Eukaryota; Metazoa; Chordata; Actinopteri; Perciformes; Gasterosteidae.
UGAUUGUUUUUUAUCCUGUAAAGCACUUUGGCUGGCCACUGGCCUUUAAAAGUGCUGUAUAAAUAAAAUUGACAUUGACAUUCUGGUAUUUAUAACACAAAAACAGUAAUCGUAUGGUAACAAACUGUAAUCCAAUAUACAACAACAUACCGUAAAUUACGGUAGGGCACGGUAAAUAAAACAGUAAAUUACUAGUGUCAACUGCCAGUAAAUUGCAGUUAAUUCACAGUCAAAUUCGUUCAAGUUUAUGGUAACAUACAGUAAUCCAUUUUACAGUAACAUAGUGCAAACGCCAUUUGUGGUAUUUUACCGUAAAAUAACGCUAAAAUAAUGUUUACUUGUAACUUGUAAUUCCUGUUCUUUUUUAAGAUGAUUCACAAAGUCGCUGGUGUACAUGUAUUAUUAUUUCAAUAAAUAACAAGACAGUUCAUUUUCUGUGCAUUCAUUUGUUAAACAUCACGCUUAGAGCAGAGCAGAUUUAAAGCCCUACAUUUGUAUUUCCUUCCUUCCUGUCUUCAGUUUUGAAUAAGUAACAAAAGCUCAAGUAUAGCUAACAAUGGUCUUAUUGAAUAUUAUUUGCACUAAAUAUCCAAAAUGAUUAUUAAUAAUUACUCAAAAGCAUUUUUUAAUAGCAGGUGUACAACAACUGCCAGCUGUUGAUGUUGAAAUGUGAUGUUAAAAAAAUCUUUGGGUAGACUUGAAGAAACUCCAGAGAUGAAUAAAUUGUACUAAAACGGAUUGAAUAGAAAAUUGUGCUACAGUAAAUUUCUCCAAAGGAGGACUAGAGCGGCAUCAGCAGGCCACAGCACACGUUUGCUGUCUAUGCUGAAGCUGUGAGCCACAAACAAGGGAUGACAUCACGUUCAUUAUAACCGCCCAUUUUGUUGAUCUAAUGCAGGAACUUCCUCAAAAAAGUAAAACUUGACCUCCAUUUUGAAUUCAGCAUGGGUUCCAUUUUGUAUGAGAACAUAAAUCCUCAUACAAAUGCACUUAAAAAAUGCACUCCUGAUUCUUUAAUAACAGGCGUGUGCUUAUAAUAAACUGUGUCCCCCGUUGUGUACACUGGGUGACGGUCCACUAAGCAGGAAUUAGCUCGGUAUUUAGGUUGUGGAUGCACGGUGUUUGUCAGGUGUUUGACCGCGGAAGGGCAAAUGGUUUUUGAACGCUAAACCGGAUGUUGGAAUCCACCACAAACUGUUGCAUGUGAAACCUGGAAUGAAGUGUCUCACACACAACGAUGGGAAAGCAACAGCAACAUGCAGGUGACUCGUCACCCCAUGGCUCAACAAAAGCUGACUGAGCUCCUACAACAAGUGGAGUUAUUGAAUAUUGUUUGCAAUACAUAUAACAAAUUAUAUUUAUUACUAAUUACUCAAAAGCAUUAAAAAAAUAAUAAUAAUAACAGGUGUGGAACAACAAGAAUAAGCCGGUCUACAUAAGAAUGAUUUUGAUCAGACGUUUUUAUUCUUAAACUCAUUAUUCAUUUCUUAAUGACCAACACAUUUUUACUGUUACCUGACAUGAAUAUAGCAAAAUGUAUACGUUGCAAAUAAACCCUAAACAGCACAUGACGUGAGCAGCAUUAAAUAAAUCUGUAAUAACCCAGAUCGAUAACAAAACUGUAAAUAGACGCAUGCUGCCACCCAGUGGUAGAGAUGAAUGUGAACACGUUUACUCUGCUCUGCUCAAAUAUCAGAGCAAAAUAUCACGAGUCUGCGACCACACACCACUUUGAUUAAACCACAUUAUUAACUAUAUUAUUAUCUACAUUGCAUAAAACAGUGGACCAACUAAUGAGUAUUGCUGCGUGGACGGAUGAAUGAACGCUGCAUGUAGUCAACCACUGUUGCCAACACACCGGAUUAUUAAUAAUAUUAUUAAUAUACAUUUAUUAACUUUUCUUCCCUGGUUUAUGUUUGUGUAACGAGACGUUAGACGGAUCAUUACAGCGAUAGGCGGGUGGGUGUCACGUGGGCGCCCCACGUGGGCGGGGCAACCUGUAGCUUACGGCCUCAGUCUGCCGAUCGCUGUCGAGCCGGUAAGUUGGUCCCUCGCAUGCUCCCUAGCUAACAUGCUAAUGAACAGUUAGCUCACAUUGUUUAUUCUGGUAAACCGCUAUAAAAGCUGGAUGACACGAGGUGUCCUUUCCGAGGACACUAACCCCUCUAUGUUCAUCGAGUAAGUCAUGUUGAUAUGUUUAUUAGUUUUGUAAAGUUAGUCUGCCGCACGCUGUCUAAAUGGUAGAAAAACUUGCUGCCAUAGUAAAAUGAACUAUGAAACGGUAAAAUGAACUAUGAAACGGUAAAGCGAACUGAAACGGUAAAGCGAACUAUGAAACGGUAAAGCGAACUAUGAAACGAUAAAGCGAACUAUGAAACGGUAAAGCAAACUAUGAAACGGUAACUAUGAAACGGUAAAGCGAACUAUGAAACGGUAAAGCGAACUAUGAAACGGUAAAGCGAACUAUGAAACGGUAA